RNAcentral lists this unclassified non-coding RNA (118 nucleotides) under Chryseobacterium limigenitum. RNAcentral's name for it is "Flavo-1 RNA". Lineage: Bacteria; Pseudomonadati; Bacteroidota; Flavobacteriia; Flavobacteriales; Weeksellaceae. The record is from RNAcentral.
ACUUAGCCCCGAUUGUAGCAUUUGUUUGAGCUCAUUUUUUUGAUUUCGGUUUCGGCGAGCCAAAGGCUCGCCGAAACCGAAAUCAAAAAAAUAGCGAGUGCGGAAAGCGGGAAAUUGC